GGUGAACGCUGGCGGCGUGCUUAAGACAUGCAAGUCGAACGGCAGUCUUCGGACUGUAGUGGCGCACGGGUGAGUAACGCGUAACUGACCUACCCCAAAGUCGCGGAUAACGAUUCGAAAGAAUCGCUAAUACGUGAUGUGCUGUCAGAUUGUGUUCUGCCAGUAAAGAUUGAUUGCUUUUGGAUGGGGUUGCGUUCCAUCAGCUAGUUGGUGGGGUAAAGGCCCACCAAGGCGACGACGGAUAGCCGGCCUGGGAGGGUGGCCGGCCACAGGGGCACUGAGACACGGGUCCCACUCCUACGGGAGGCAGCAGUUAGGAAUCUUCCACAAUGGGCGAAAGCCUGAUGGAGCGACGCCGCGUGAGGGAUGAAGGUCUUCGGAUCGUAAACCUCUGAAUCAGGGACGAAAGACACUUCGGUGGGAUGACGGUACCUGAGUAAUAGCACCGGCUAACUCCGUGCCAGCCGCCGCCGUAA
This 476-nucleotide ribosomal RNA is filed under the name uncultured bacterium. RNAcentral describes it as "partial 16S ribosomal RNA". It matches the Rfam family "Bacterial small subunit ribosomal RNA", at positions 28 to 523 of the family's 1533-position model. The record is from RNAcentral.